GGCCUGUUUUGCCCAGGCGGAGCUCGACCGCCCGUUCAAGCGAUGAUCUCGUUCAUCGACGAUCAUCGGGAAGCCUACGGGGUCGAGCCGAUCUGCAGGGUGCUGCCGAUCGCCCCG
Acidisphaera rubrifaciens HS-AP3 is the source of this 117-nucleotide regulatory RNA element. It matches the Rfam family "ALIL pseudoknot". Lineage: Bacteria; Pseudomonadati; Pseudomonadota; Alphaproteobacteria; Acetobacterales; Acetobacteraceae. The record is from Rfam.